This is a long non-coding RNA of Gorilla gorilla gorilla (western lowland gorilla), 2277 nucleotides long. RefSeq lists it as uncharacterized. NCBI's taxonomy places the organism in Eukaryota, Metazoa, Chordata, Mammalia, Primates, Hominidae. The transcript is spliced from 2 exons. The record is from RefSeq and is a predicted model, not a curated record.
UAAGUUCCAUUUUGUAUCACAAGAGCUAAAAAAUAAUGUGUAUUUAAAUUAGAGUAAAUAAUGUGUAUUUAAUUCGAAUAAUUAGAACUUUACCUUUAAUUUCUCCUAGCUUUGGCCGUUGCUGUCUGUGUUGUGAUGGUUGUGUUGUUUGAAAGUGGGAUUCCACCUUCUAUGCUAGUGUUUAUGUGAACCCCUGAUUACGGAUGUUAAGAGGUAUUUUAAACUGAUUGCUAAAGAAUGUCACAGAAAUACUCAUUUGUUUUGCUUUAUUCUUUUGUGGAAUACAAUAUUUCAUAUGAGAAGGUAAUUUCUCUUCAUGAGUAGGUCUCCUACACUUGAAUCAAAGAAAUGCUGUGACUUGUCAGGAUGUGAUACAGGUGGAGGGGUUAUUUUUGUGUCAUAAUCUGUGUAUCCUCAUUUCUUGGCAGCUUUGUCUUCCAGUAGAGGAAAAAUUUAAGGAACAGCUGAAAUCUGUUUCUUAUCAUCAUGUUUUCUAGAGAAUGGAGCAACCCCACUUGUCAUCUGUUCACUCAGUAUCCAUCUAUGCUGUUGGUUCUGUAAGAUUUCCCUUGAGAUUAAAAUGUUGAAAGACAGCUUCAUUCCUUUCAUGCUCCAGUCCUUUUCAUAACACCUGCUCCAUAAAUGCACAUCACUCGAGUGGAAUUGUAUUUUGUGUAAAUCUGGUUUGAUAAACUGUAAAAAUGGCAAAACAUACAUUUAAAGAAGUUGGUAUUCAUAUAUCAUGCUGGGUACUUCUUUAAAAAAUAAUUCUAAACUAUGGCAUAUCAUUGAGAGGAGAAGGAUAGAACUGCCAGAGAGAAAAGGCCUUCAGUCCAGAUGAAGUUAUGACUUUGUGCAGUGAGUUCCUUCCUCUGGAAAGAAGUAUUAGCUGCAAUAAUCUGGCCACAUUCCAAGUUGGUCAAUGGUAUGCUGCCUCCCUAAAUUCUGCAGCUUCGAUUACAUUCAUUGUCCUAGUGCACGUCCUGUCAGGAAUGGUCGCGUUGAUCUGCCAGUUAAAACAGCUGUUGCUUCUGAUGCAUGAGAAACUACGAAAGUCACUCUCUUAUCCAUCACCGAUGUAGGAGUUAGAAACUGAAAGCCCAGUGACCAGGAGAGACAGACAGAGAGAGAGAGAGAAAGGAAGAGAAAGGAAGAAGAAGAAGAAGAAGGGGAAGAGGAAGAAGAAGAAGAAGAGGAAGAAGAGGAAGAGGAGGAAGAGGGAGAAGAGAGAGAUCACAUCGUUUUGAAGUAUUUUCAACUGCUCUUCAUUUAUUUUAAUAUAUUCCCUCAACUUGUCUAUUAAUUGGCAAAAAAACAACUUGAUUACACUUAUUUUGAGUUUUUAAGAUUUUCCAGACAUUCCAAUUAGGAUAGACUGACCUACUUUUCUUGGUGAUAACACAAAAGAGAUUACUUUUGUCAGUUGUACUGUGUAUCUAAAAAUCAGCACCACAAAAGCCACAUAUUGAACACUUUUUGUUAGCAUGAUGCUAUUUUGCCUAAUACACAUUCUUGCCUUGUAAAACACCCAAAAUUUUGCUUCCAUAUAAAUAUGCUGAUCACAAAAUAAUCUUUACCUUUUUUAAAAAUAAUAAGAUGAUCUAUGUCUAUUUUCCCAUUCCCAGGCAGAGAAGAAAUAAGAACUGUGUUUUGCCCCCAGUUAAGCUACACAUAUUGCUUGAUGUUUUUCUCCACUUCCACAUUGAGCAUCGAGAUAUUUAAAACUUCCAACAGCCUGAAAAUAUUCAAAUAGAUUGAAUGGGGUAAAAAAAAAAACCAAAAUUUUGCCUUUUAUGGUUAAAGACAAAUUCCCCAAACAGUGCAGGCACACAGUGGUUGCAUAGUUAGUGCUUACUGGACUGAAUUAUUGCAUCCUUUUUCCGCAUUUAUUUCUAGGAAGCAGUUUAAAGUACAAAAUAUAUUUAAAUAUUGAUUUUUUUAAGAAAACCUUGGCUUCUAUGAUGAAGUCCAACUUAACAGCAUAUGUUAAAUCAUUAACUCUAUUAGAAAGUGAUGAGUACCAACAGUGGAGAGAAAUAUGCUACAGUUACUUAUUUAUACACAGUCUUCCUAUUUUUAUAUUUUUUUUAGUUACUGAAAUGGAACCAUAAGCCAGAGGGCAAUGCAUUCUUUCUCUCUACCACCAGAUGCACACAAUUGAACUAUUGCUUACAAGGAGGAUCCUUGUUAUUUCACAUGCGAUCAUCGAGAAACACAUGGAGAGUGAUUAUGUGUUCUACGUCCUGCUGUUUUAAAGCAAAUAAAAGUUCAUCUGUA